Molecule: ribosomal RNA, 714 nt
Filed under: uncultured bacterium
Lineage: Bacteria
Description: bacterial SSU rRNA
Rfam family: Bacterial small subunit ribosomal RNA
Source: RNAcentral
ACACAUGCAGUCGAGCGGCAGCACAGAGAAACUUGUUUCUCGGGUGGCGAGCGGCGGACGGGUGAGUAAUGCCUGGGAAAUUGCCCUGAUGUGGGGGAUAACCAUUGGAAACGAUGGCUAAUACCGCAUAAUAGCUUCGGCUCAAAGAGGGGGACCUUCGGGCCUCUCGCGUCAGGAUAUGCCCAGGUGGGAUUAGCUAGUUGGUGAGGUAAUGGCUCACCAAGGCGACGAUCCCUAGCUGGUCUGAGAGGAUGAUCAGCCACACUGGAACUGAGACACGGUCCAGACUCCUACGGGAGGCAGCAGUGGGGAAUAUUGCACAAUGGGCGCAAGCCUGAUGCAGCCAUGCCGCGUGUGUGAAGAAGGCCUUCGGGUUGUAAAGCACUUUCAGUCGUGAGGAAGGUGGUGUUGUUAAUAGCAACAUCAUUUGACGUUAGCGACAGAAGAAGCACCGGCUAACUCCGUGCCAGCAGCCGCGGUAAUACGGAGGGUGCGAGCGUUAAUCGGAAUUACUGGGCGUAAAGCGCAUGCAGGUGGUUUGUUAAGUCAGAUGUGAAAGCCCGGGGCUCAACCUCGGAAUAGCAUUUGAAACUGGCAAGCUAGAGUACUGUAGAGGGGGGGUAGAAUUUCAGGUGUAGCGGUGAAAUGCGUAGAGAUCUGAAAGAAUACCGGUGGCGAAGGCGGCCCCCUGGACAGAUACUGACACUCAGAUGC